AUAGCUAAGUUCAAGCAUCGUAACAGUUCUUAUCAGUUCAAUAUCUGAUGUGUCUUCAAACAGAAAACUUUCUAAUAAACAGAUUUUGGGACUCAGGAGUUGGAUCUGGAGCUUACUCUUUUCACUCUGCACUGUUCUGAAGGUGAACGUGGCAUUAAGGGACAUAGUUUU
RNAcentral lists this small nuclear RNA (171 nucleotides) under Phasianus colchicus (ring-necked pheasant). RNAcentral's name for it is "U2 spliceosomal RNA (ENSPCLG00000017581.1)". It matches the Rfam family "U2 spliceosomal RNA". Rfam says of the family: U2 is a small nuclear RNA (snRNA) component of the spliceosome (involved in pre-mRNA splicing). Complementary binding between U2 snRNA (in an area lying towards the 5' end but 3' to hairpin I) and the branchpoint sequence (BPS) of the intron results the bulging out of an unpaired adenosine, on the BPS, which initiates a nucleophilic attack at the intronic 5' splice site, thus starting the first of two transesterification reactions that mediate splicing. Lineage: Eukaryota; Metazoa; Chordata; Aves; Galliformes; Phasianidae. The record is from Rfam by way of RNAcentral.